AUGACCUCUAGAUGGCAGGAACUCCCUCUUUUUUUCUCCUUUUCUUUUCUUUUCUUUUCUUUUCUUUUCUUUUCUUUUCUUUUCUUUUCUUUUCUUUUCUUUUCUUUUCUUUUCUUUUCUUUUCUUUUCUUUUCUUUUCUUUUCUNNNNNNNNNNNNNNNNNNNNNNNNNUUUUCUUCUUUUUUUUAAAUUUCUUUUUUUUUUUUUUUUUAGCCUUAUGGAGGUUUCAGGGCUGAUGCAGGAUCACCUAAACUUUAAGCCACGUAACCAACCCGAGGGAUUGCUUAGCUGUUCCCUGCUGUCCCUGGAGCAAGACGGGUGAUUCUUUGUCGGAAGACCACUGCUGCUGCCUCACCCCUAUAUCCUUGCACCUCCUUCUGCUGAAAUUUAUGGCUCUUCACCCUGACUUCUGAAGCUGGGGACCUCGCAGGCUGGGGACUGAUGGGCUGGUCUGCAGACGAGUAGUUCUCCUGUUAUUGCCAGCAGAGGAUUGCUGACUGGGCCACAUGGCGUGCAACAGGCUUUUACAUAACUUCCUUCCCAUGAUAUCAAGACUAAAAUACACCUUGUCCUUCCUCUCUCUGGGCUCUGGGUAACAGGCUGGAGUUUUCUUCACCUGUUUCUCCCUCUUUCUAUUUUUAAUUGCCUUUCCCCACCGCUGUUCCCAGCAAGGGUCUCUGGACCUUGGUAAAAAUAAUGCUUCUAACUUUGAUGUAAAGCUUCAAGGUUUGUGGCCGCCUCAUACCCUCCAGGGGCAUGUCCUAUAUUAAUAGCUAGCUACCAACCCCCUGCCUCCCUUCUGUGGGGGAGAUGGGGAGAUCUGAGGCAUCUGAGGCAGCAAUUUCAUUCUGUAAAUCAGAGCACAUGAAUGUAGGAAGCCGAGGACCAAAAUCUUGAAUAGCUCAGCAUUGACCAAAGAACCUGAGGUAACCCUUGGUAUUAGUGAGAAGUCUAUGUUAAAGCGUGGAGUGGCUAAAACAUAUCAAUUAGUAGAUGAAUUGGAUUGCUGUGAUGGAUUGCUGUGUCCACCCUGGGACGGAUUGCUGCAGGCUGCAUGAAGGUGUCCUCUGCUCACUGAGGAGACAGGAAAGUGCUGGACCCCAAGGAAAGCUGACUCCGUUUCACCUCACCUCCCUUUAGGUCCCUGUGGGUCUGAUGAGAUCUUAUAUCUGAUUAGGUCUUUAAGCUCCUACCAUUGCCUAUAAAGACCCAGUAAAUGAUCCCAGCCAGUGAUUCACCUCACCCUAAAUAAGAAGCCUACAUUUGGUCCGAUGACUCACUUCACUGGCUGUGCUGACUGGGUUUCUGUUGUCGUUAUCAGGAGGCCAAACACCUACCUUGGACGUAGGCGUCUGUGUCGUAGACAGGAGCUGUUUGACUCAGCUGCCCACACGCAGGCACCAAGUGCCAUCUGAGGUGUCCUGCAGCACCUGAGACAUCCGUAUCCCCUGGCAGGUGUGAUAUGGGAGAGCUCUGCCUUCAGGGCUUGCACCUGGAGGCCAGGUGGCACAGCCGUGGGCAUCUCUCACGGUACAAGCUGCUCAGCGAUGGAGACCUGAGCUGAAAAUGAGGUUUCCAGCAGGGAGUCCCCCACAUGUUGACUGAACAAACCUUCUAGGACACUUAAAUGGGAGGUGUAGCUUUAAUUCCCCAUUGUGCCACUGUGUACAAAGACCAGAGACAUAAAAAGUGGGUUUAGCUGGGGCAUGCUCAGCCUGAUAUUGAUUCUUCCUCCACCUUUCACGUAGCUCUUCAGUGGAGCAGGAAGGACUUGGCUGAUGAAUGACGUGACCACCAGGCAUGCCUUCUCCUCUCCAUUGAUUGCUGCCUUUUUCUGGCUGAAACGGUGAUCAAGUUAAGGUCAAGGGCAGGGAAAAGGUGACAAAAUAAGGAGAUUUUGAAAAGCCAAGCCAGGCACAUUUUGCAGUGUGGUGAUACAGGUUUGGCACUCCCACUGCAAUCAUUUCUGUUGUGGGAAGCAGGGAUUUGGGCAAAACCGAAUGGCAUCCACGGAUGUCUGAUGAACCAAAGCUGCUUGGACUGAAGGAUGUGAACACUUGCUGUAGAGAUGUCUGUGGGUAAGGAGAAUUCCACUGAUGUGCAAGCUGUAUGGCAAAGAGGAGAAGGAGCCUGGGUGAGGUUAGGUUUCACCUGGUCACGUCUAAGUCUUUGACAUGCUAAUAAAAUCCCAAACCCAUUAAGAAAUAGAAAUAUG
Molecule: long non-coding RNA, 2214 nt
Organism: Anser cygnoides (Swan goose)
Lineage: Eukaryota; Metazoa; Chordata; Aves; Anseriformes; Anatidae
Source: Ensembl